GCGAUUUUCAUAUGGCAAUAAAAGAAAAAUUUCAUCUGUCAACUGAAAUUUCGAGGAAUUGUUUUUGGUUUGGCUUCAAAUUUCCUUUAAAAAGUGAUGAAAAUGUCUAAGAAACCUCUUCGAUUGCAAGCAAGACAUAUUGUUUUCAAUGUUUAUCAAAGAAUACUUGAUCAACAAGAUGCAGAACAUACACAAUCAUCGAUAUUGAGCCAUGUGCAAGCAUUGACUGGGGUUUCUUAUACUACAAAUAAACUAGGAUAGUUUUGAUUUAGAAUUGAUCAGAAACAAGAUAAAUGAGUUUUACACUGUUUCUUUCUCUCAAAUAGGGAUUGAUGAAUAGCGAAAAUCUUGUGAACAUGUAAUAAAAAUUGAAAAUCAGUUCAUAGAACAAGAUCGGUUUAUUGAGAUGCAGGAGGAAAGGUUUAUUAUAAAUACUGCGUUGAAGACUUUUUUAUGGAUGUGCAGUAUUCGGAACCAUUUUCAAGUUCUUAAUUAAU
This is a long non-coding RNA of Pieris napi, 497 nucleotides long. RefSeq lists it as uncharacterized. NCBI's taxonomy places the organism in Eukaryota, Metazoa, Arthropoda, Insecta, Lepidoptera, Pieridae. The transcript is spliced from 2 exons. The record is from RefSeq and is a predicted model, not a curated record.